This is a non-coding RNA of Hydra vulgaris (swiftwater hydra), 1170 nucleotides long. NCBI's taxonomy places the organism in Eukaryota, Metazoa, Cnidaria, Hydrozoa, Anthoathecata, Hydridae. The record is from RefSeq and is a predicted model, not a curated record.
UAUCAUCAUAUUAUCAUUUUUAAUUAUUUUUGGAUUGUAUACUUGUGUGUAUAAUGUAUUGUAUAAUGUGGAUUAUUAUUUAAAUCAUAAUACAAGCAUGCCUAAUGUUUACAUGUUGUUUAGAUCCUGCUGCACAUUAUGAAGCCUUUUUAAGAUGUCCUCUAGUUCCAUCCUCAAUUGCAUUGAGUGUUCCAUCUACAUCUGCAAUAAUUGGUAUGUUUACAAACUUUCACUUUUCAAUAUGUUUAUGCAUUUCUUGGCAAUCACAAUAUUUAUUUUUACUUCAGCUUUGUUAACCUUUAGUUACAUCUUCAGCUGCUACAAGUGGAAUUAUUGGUUCAAAAAAAAGUGGAGCAAUGUUUGCGGAUGAAGUGAAAAAAGAUUGAUCUUACAUAUGGUGCCUAUAGACGGCUCUGGUUUACCUUCACCUGGUGUCUAUUGUUAAAAAUGAAUUAUUUAGUUUCAUCAUUGGAAUUUUAAGUAAUAUCAUUUACUAAAAGCCAAGACAUAAAUUUAUAUAUUUUUUAUUUUAAAACUUUUUAAAAUAUAAGUUUUAAAACUUUGGUUAAUUUUAAGGGUGGAUACUCAAACUUGCAUCUUGUAAUGUGGUAAGAUUAGUAAAGAUAUGUCUCUCUUUUUACACAAUUUAAAGACAUUUUUGAAAUUUUUAUUGACAUUUUUUUAAAGUUUAAAUAAGAAGAGGAGGAGGGGGCGUUGGGUGUGGCACACACCCCUCCCUUUACUAACAUGGUAAAAUAAUCUUGAAUACUAAUUUCUCUUUUUAAAUAAACUCAGUUUAAAACCAUUUUUCAAAUAUCUUUUAACAUUUUUUUUUAGGUUGGAGAAGACUGAGAGGAAGGGGGAUGGGCGUUAAGGGUGGCAUCGUCCCGCCCCUAAUUUCAAUUUAUGCACCACUUGUAUAUGCUGUUAUGUGAAAAAAUAUAAUUUAAUAUUUUUAACACAAAAUAUUAUGUGUUAAAAAGUUGUUUUUUAGGUUCAAAUAUUUAUAAGAUGGUAACAUUUCACUACGAGGGUGUUAAAACGUAACAAAGACAUCCACCCUUUAAUCUAAAAUUUACCACUAGUAUUUGGAAAUGUAAUGGAAGCAAAUUAGAACAAUUUUUUGUGUAUAAAGAUAACAAAUUUUAUUAGAGAAAUACUCUUUCGUGU